Molecule: ribosomal RNA, 645 nt
Filed under: uncultured bacterium
Lineage: Bacteria
Description: bacterial SSU rRNA
Rfam family: Bacterial small subunit ribosomal RNA
Source: RNAcentral
CGCGGCCUAUCAGCUUGUUGGUGAGGUAACGGCUCACCAAGGCGACGACGGGUAGCUGGUCUGAGAGGACGAUCAGCCACACUGGGACUGAGACACGGCCCAGACUCCUACGGGAGGCAGCAGCAGGGAAUAUUGCACAAUGGGCGAAAGCCUGAUGCAGCGACGCCGCGUGAGGGAUGAAGGCCUCCGGGUCGUAAACCUCUUUCAGGAGGGACGAAGCGCAAGUGACGGUACCUCCAGAAGAAGCCCCGGCCAACUACGUGCCAGCAGCCGCGGUAAUACGUAGGGGGCAAGCGUUGUCCGGAUUCAUUGGGCGUAAAGAGCUCGUAGGCGGCUCGGUAAGUCGGCCGUGAAAUCCCGGAGCUCAACUCCGGGAGGCCGGUCGAUACUGCCGUGGCUAGGGUCCGGUAGAGGAGAGUGGAAUUCCCGGUGUAGCGGUGAAAUGCGCAGAUAUCGGGAGGAACACCUGUAGCGAAGGCGGCUCUCUGGGCCGGCACCGACGCUGAGGAGCGAAAGCUAGGGGAGCAAACAGGAUUAGAUACCCUGGUAGUCCUAGCUGUAAACGUUGGGUACUAGGUGUGGCGGAUUGAUUGAUGUCUGCUGUGCCGUAGCAAACGCAUUAAGUACCCCGCCUGGGGAGUACGG